UUAAAAGCCUUUAAAGAAACAUCCAUUUCAUGUGGCUAAAAACUCUUUGUAAACUGGAUAGUUAGUGAUAGAGUGAAAUUUCUACGUGGCCAUGGCGUUCAAUAAAUCGAACGCGACGCACACAAAUAAAAAAAAAGUACAGGUUGUUAAUUUAGCCGCUCGCGGUCUUGAGAUGCUUUGGUUGCCGGAAAGAAUUUAACUAACCUAUAUUAUUUGCUUUCAUUUAAAGUUUUUUUGUAAAUCGCGAUGAAAUUGAAAGCUAUAAUCGUUCAAGAGUUAAUUCAUUACAGUAUGACCCACAGAUGAACCAACUGUACUCUGCAGGUCGGGAUGGUAUUGUUCGAAUAUGGAAUUGCAACCCAAACAAAAGUUCAAAAGAUUACUAUUGGCAAUGUAUGGACCACCAUACAGACUGGGUGAAUGAUGUUGUCCUGUGCUGUGUAAUUUCAGCCAGCUCAGAUAUGACAGUCAAGGUGUGGAAUGCUCACUAGGGUUUCUGUAUGUCCACAUUGAGAACCCACAAAGAUUAUGUAAAAGUCUUGGCAUAUUCCCAAAAAAGGAACAAGUUGCUUUUGCUGGUUUUAACAGAGCCAUCUUCCUUUGGAAUGUCAUUACUUUGACUGCACUAACUGCAUACAACAACACUGACACACCUUCUUCUGUUAAUCUACAGAGAGGACUCUCAGAGUGUGGGAUCCACGUAGCUACAACAAACUAAUGAAAUUGAAAGGGCACACUAAAAAUAACAAGUGUAUUGUAUAAGUGUAUUGGAGAAUACACAAUGAAGGGGUCUGGACG
This is a long non-coding RNA of Daphnia pulex (common water flea), 798 nucleotides long. RefSeq lists it as uncharacterized. Lineage: Eukaryota; Metazoa; Arthropoda; Branchiopoda; Diplostraca; Daphniidae. The record is from RefSeq and is a predicted model, not a curated record. The transcript is spliced from 4 exons.